Molecule: long non-coding RNA, 158 nt
Organism: Alosa sapidissima (American shad)
Lineage: Eukaryota; Metazoa; Chordata; Actinopteri; Clupeiformes; Clupeidae
Exons: 4
Source: RefSeq, a predicted model, not a curated record
CAACAGAUGAUGCAGGGGCCUGGGAUGAGAGCAGUAGGGUGACAAUUUUUCGGGACUCCCGCGGGUCACGGUAUUCCCGCGGGGUUCCCGCAGUACGGGAGUAAAUUUCACUGUUGGUAACGUGACUGGGACGGGACAGGAAAUAAUAAACGGGAGCU